Long non-coding RNA from Oreochromis niloticus (Nile tilapia), 2195 nucleotides. RefSeq lists it as uncharacterized. The record is from RefSeq and is a predicted model, not a curated record. The transcript has 3 exons. NCBI's taxonomy places the organism in Eukaryota, Metazoa, Chordata, Actinopteri, Cichliformes, Cichlidae.
GUGUGUUUGCACGUUUCUCUAUGUAUGUUUGUCUUUACUGGCACCACACACACUAGCUGAAUCAGCUUAAUCUCAGCCAACGUGUCUAUCAGGGGAAAACCUCUUGAGCUCUUACUGGCCACCUUCAUGUUCAAAACAUUUGUGUUCAGAUGCUGGCCGAGGUCCGCUGGAGUUCAAGAUGGUGCUAAAGUAGUGAGAGAGAGCAAGAGAACCACAGAGGGAGUGUGUAAACAUGUGUGUAACCAUCCCUGUAAUUGCCAUUAAGUGGCUUAGCGCUAUCUCCACCCAGUCCCAGCUGAUAAGGCUGCGUUCGGUCUGCCGUUUCUUGUAAGGCCGACAAGAAGUUUUUUCUUCAUCGUGCUCUGGGACAAACUUUAUCCAAUACGAUCUUCUGCACAACGCACCAGGAACAUGUCGCAAAUAUAGUCAUACAAGCAAAUAAUUUAAUCAGAAGAUCAAAUUAGCAUUAGCAAAUUAGCUAUACGUAUCAGAUGUAAACCUGCUGACCUGCUGUGUUUGGGGGGGGCUUUACAAACACUGACACAGAGCUAAGCCGUAGUAGUGGUACACUUGUGUGGGCGUAGUCAUGUUUCCACUUCUUCAUUCAGGCAUUAAAGAACUAAGUUUUUACGUGACAACACACGUUUCAUGUCUGUCCUGUCAUCUUCCCCGAGGAGGUAGCCAAAAUGUUUUCUAAUACCUCAAUUAAUCAGAUGGACACAAAGCAGAUCGAUGACACUGGAGGGCCAGUCGCCGGUCUUUGGGCUUAAAGGCGUUUUCCUUGCGACGGAUAUGUGGCGCGUGGGAGUGUAACUACUGCAGUCUCUAAUAACAACUCUGCCUUUUAUCUUGGUGUGUUGCUAAUGCAAAGGCAAGUUUAGUGAAGGACGCCUAGGAACCUUGUGCCAUAUUUCUGCAGUAACAGCUUUCAGAGACCGAACAUUAAAAUAAAUCCCUGAAAUGCCCACGUGUUUGUGUACUUGUGAGGGGAAAUAACGCCAGUUAGUCAGAGUAUGUACGGAGUUUUUUACUGAUGAAGACAAAUUUGUCCUAAGUGUGUGUCAUUCACCCCCCAAAAAAGGUCAAAUUUUUCUUUGUCAUUUUAACCCUUCCUUUCAGCACUGGUCUUUCAACUGUGUGCACUUGUGUGUGUUUUGUGUGCUUUGCUGGUGGUCCCUCAGACCCUCGAGGUCCACUCUGUUUACCCAGCACCCUGUUGUCUCUCACACGCCCUUCUGAUGGGCUUCUUUUUAAGCGAACAGGUAAUAAAAUUAAAAGUUUCAUUAACUCUCUUUUUUUUUUUCAUUUUCUCACCGUUACAAUUGAUUUCCAUUUAGCCUCUCUCACUGCAACACUCUGCUCCUCACGUUGGCCGAUUGCUUUGGUUGGACUCUGGGGCUUGUAGCAGAACAACCAAAUAAGUCAGUCAUUCACUUCAGAGCUGUUAGCAGUGUGGCAGCAGCCAAACAAAGCACUGCCCUAGCCUUUAUGGCUAGUACUUUUAAAAAGACAUGGUACCCUGUAUUUACUUUGUUUGAUUUGAUUUUUAUUUGUUUGUUUUGUUUUGUUUCAGAACAAUAAUGCAGGGCUUGGUUUAUUCAGCUUGACUUUAUACAUGACACCCGAUGUCUUCUUGUCAUGCCUGUCUCGUCUCUCUGUUGCCUCUUACCCCUGAUGCCUCAUUACCCACAAGUCUAUUUAUACACUUUGUUAUCCACGAGUGAAGCUUUCCUGGCAGGAGCUGCUAAGCACUGCCAGUCCGGGAAAGAAUGCCCAUUCUGGGGCUUUGCAGAGACUGUGGCCCUGGUCCCUGGAAGAAUUGCUACUCUGUCUUCUGUAGCUGGUUAUGUAAGCAGCGGACCUCCUCAAACUGACAGAAUGAUGAACUCAAUUAAAGCUAUGUUAACAGCAGUACUCUCUGCAGAACACCAGAGUGUCUAAAUAUUGUUUUUCAUGUAACAUAUUGAGGAAAAAUACAUGAUGAACUGUAUGGAUUGAAAGCUCCAGUUAAUGAUGUAAGGCUGGGACCACUACAUUAGUUUCUUGUUAUAAUCAGAGCGCUGCACAUUCCUGUUUGAGAAAAUGACAGAAAACCAGUCUGUAAAAAUGUAAACUUUGAUGAAUGAAGCAUUUUGGAGAUUUUUAAGCCAUUUCACAAAAUUCUUGACAUGACUUGUUGUUGUCAUGUCAUUAAA